RNAcentral lists this ribosomal RNA (440 nucleotides) under uncultured bacterium. RNAcentral describes it as "partial 16S ribosomal RNA". It matches the Rfam family "Bacterial small subunit ribosomal RNA", at positions 338 to 795 of the family's 1533-position model. The record is from RNAcentral.
CCUACGGGUGGCAGCAGUGGGGAAUAUUGCACAAUGGGGGAAACCCUGAUGCAGCGACGCCGCGUGAGUGAAGAAGUAUUUCGGUAUGUAAAGCUCUAUCAGCAGGGAAGAAAAUGACGGUACAUGACUAAGAAGCCCCGGCUAACUACGUGCCAGCAGCCGCGGGAAUACGUAGGGGGCACGCGUUAUCCGGAUUUACUGGGUGUAAAGGGAGCGUAGACGGUGGUACAAGUCAGACGUGAAAGCCCGGGGCUCAACUCCGGGACUGCAUUUGAAACUGUGUGACUGGAGUGCAGGAGAGGAAAGCGGAAUUCCUGGUGUAGCGGUGAAAUGCGUAGAUAUAAGGAGGAACACCAGUGGCGAAGGCGGCUGACUGGACUGUAACUGACGUUGAGGCUCGAAAGCGUGGGGAGCAAACAGGAUUAGAUACCCUUGUAGUC